Molecule: ribosomal RNA, 333 nt
Filed under: Triticum aestivum (bread wheat)
Lineage: Eukaryota; Viridiplantae; Streptophyta; Magnoliopsida; Poales; Poaceae
Description: partial small subunit ribosomal RNA
Source: RNAcentral
AUGGCCUUUCCGAUGCUGGUUUCAUCCAUGUGGCAACUCACCCUUGAUGAGCUUAAAAACCCCACCAAGAAGUUGAAGACAAAAUAUGCCUCAAGCUCCCAACAAUCUAUUGGAUUGGAUGAUUAUGAUGAGCAAAGUGAAGGAGCGGACGGGCAAGCAACCAUGCCAAAGAGGAACCGACAUGUGAUGGAAACAAGUGGGACAAGGAGAAGGACGUGUGUGACGCCGCAGCAAGCAAAGUGUUUGCCACAUGGACGAACAUUUUUUUCCGUCAAGGAGAAGAAGAAGGAGAGGUACCUGCUCUUCCUGUAUGUGCAAAGGGAGGGGAUGUGA